RNAcentral lists this ribosomal RNA (508 nucleotides) under uncultured bacterium. Its description in RNAcentral is "bacterial SSU rRNA". It matches the Rfam family "Bacterial small subunit ribosomal RNA", at positions 28 to 528 of the family's 1533-position model. The record is from RNAcentral.
GAUGAACGCUAGCUACAGGCUUAACACAUGCAAGUCGAGGGGAAACGAUAUUGGAAGCUUGCUUCCGAUAGGCGUCGACCGGCGCACGGGUGAGUAACGCGUAUCCAACCUGCCCAUCACUUGGGGAUAACCUUGCGAAAGUAAGACUAAUACCCAAUGAUAUCUCUAGAAGACAUCUGAAGGAGAUUAAAGAUUUAUCGGUGAUGGAUGGGGAUGCGUCUGAUUAGCUUGUUGGCGGGGUAACGGCCUACCAAGGCGACGAUCAGUAGGGGUUCUGAGAGGAAGGUCCCCCACAUUGGAACUGAGACACGGUCCAAACUCCUACGGGAGGCAGCAGUGAGGAAUAUUGGUCAAUGGGGCGAGAGCCUGAACCAGCCAAGUAGCGUGCAGGAAGACGGCCCUAUGGGUUGUAAACUGCUUUUAUAAGGGAAUAAAGUGAGCCUCGUGAGGCUUUUUGCAUGUACCUUAUGAAUAAGGACCGGCUAAUUCCGUGCCAGCAGCCGUACGG